GAUGAACGCUGGCGGCGUGCCUAAUACAUGCAAGUCGAGCGAACAGACGAGGAGCUUGCUCCUCUGACGUUAGCGGCGGGCGGGUGAGUAACACGUGGAUAACCUACUUAUAAGACUGGGAUAACUUCGGGAAACCGGCGCUUAUCCCGGAUAAUCUCUUGAACCGCAUGGUUCAAUAGUGAAAUACGGUUUUUCUGUCACUUAUAGAUGGAUCCGCGCCGCAUUAGCUAGUUGGUAAGGUAACGGCUUACCAAGGCAACGAGGCGUAGCCGACCUGAGAGGGUGAUCGGCCACACUGGAACUGAGACACGGUCCAGACUCCUACGGGAGGCAGCAGUAGGGAAUCGUCCGCAAUGGGCGAAAGCCUGACGGAGCAACGCCGCGUGAGUGAUGAAGGUCUUCCGAUCGUAAAACUCUGUUAUUAGUGAAGAACAAAUGUGUAAGUAACUAUGCACGUCGUGACGGUACCUAAUCAGAAAGCCACGGCUAACUACGUG
Molecule: ribosomal RNA, 497 nt
Filed under: uncultured bacterium
Lineage: Bacteria
Description: partial 16S ribosomal RNA
Rfam family: Bacterial small subunit ribosomal RNA
Source: RNAcentral